GGCACUUCUUCAUGCUGCCUUGCGAAGAAGCUGGCUUGCUUCCUCUUUGUCUUCCGCCAUGAUUGUAGAUUUCCUGAGGCCUCCCAAGCUGUGCUGAACUUAACAAUUUGGACAAGACAGCAAAUGCUAUUGUCCAAGUUUUCUAAAGAAGAAUCUGAAGUGAAAUGACAUCAAGAGACCUAUCAAGACCUGUAUCCAGGAAAAGACCAAACCAAUGCAGACCAAACCAAUGCAGAACUCCUAUGUGCUGAUGGUGGUCUUACAUUUCCCUAAGUUUCUGCCGACUAAACUGUGCACACGUUCUCAGGACCUCCUGAAGCUGCGUCACAGGCACUAAUCAAAGAACACAACCAAGAGUUUGGCCUUUUCUUCAGCACUGGGAAUUGUGAUCCAAAGCUUUUCCUGAUGAAGCACAAAGUUGGAGAAAAAAAACGCAAACUAAACAACAACAAUGAAACAGAACAGAGUGAAUCUGCUGUAGCUCAAGAGAGGACGUAGCUGCCCCCACUCCGCAUCCCCGGGCUCGGGUUUGCCUUGCUGACCUCUGCUGCCACCUGGUGCCGCACAGAGAAACUGAGGAGAAACCACAUCAGUCUCCUUCAGCCUCAGCUUCACAUCUGUGGGUCAAGUAACCCUUUCAGAAGCUGAAUAAUGUGGGAAAGCUUUCCUCUCAGGAAAAUGCACACAUCCAACUUUGAGAAGAUGCCCUUGGGGGCGCUUCAAGGAUUCUAGAUAAUAACCCCCUUUCCCGAACAUCCAAGAACCUAAGAUUUUUUUUUUUUUUUUGAGAAAGUCUCGCUCUCUCUCCCAGUCUGGAGUGCAGUGGCGUGAUCUUGGCUCACUGCCAGCUCCACCUCCCAGGUUCACGCCAUUCUCCUGCUUCAGCCUCCCUAGUAGCUGGGGCUACAGGCACCUGCCACCAAACCCGGCUAAUUUUUUUGUAUUUUUAGUAGAGACGGGGUUUCACCGUGUUAGCCAGGAUCGUCUUGAUCUCCUGACCUUGUGAUCCACCCGCCUCGGCCUCCCAAAUUGCUGGGAUUACAGAUGUGAGCCACCGCACCUGGUCCAAGAGCCCAAGUUUUAGAUCUAGAGUGAUGUCAGCAUGACAUUGAUUUCCUGAGGCCCAGGGGCGAAGGAGCUGAGGACAGCAGAGGGGUGAAGGAACUCAGCUACAGACAGCAGCAGCUGAUGCACAGGCCUCCCAGCGCCUGAAGUCACCCGGAAUUGGGAAGUGCUCAGAAGCUUACAAAGCUGCCUCGAGGAACAGUAAGAGGACCUUGUGCAUGAAUAAUUUGUUUCCACACUGCAGACAGAAGAAUCCCAGACUUCUUAGAGAACCCAGUGACUUUUUGCACCUUAAAUCUGUGAAAUCCUCAUGCUUUCUUCUGCCGUAUCCAUCGUUCAAACAAACAUGAGGCAAAGCUAGACACAUUCCUGAAGGAACCCAAGAAAUUCCUCUCUUUCUCUCUCUGGAAUGAAAUGAAUUCUCUAGACCACCAGUUCUAACCUUCAAAAACGAAACCUGUUUGUGAGAUCUCCUUCAAAUACUACUGUAGACCCCAGUGUUUAUUCAUUAAAUUUUUUAAACAUUUGUUUUA
Molecule: long non-coding RNA, 1598 nt
Filed under: Homo sapiens (human)
Lineage: Eukaryota; Metazoa; Chordata; Mammalia; Primates; Hominidae
Description: family with sequence similarity 157 member C
Source: RNAcentral